AUGGAAAGCAUAAAGGACAUAAACUAAUGGCAGUUGUUGUGUAUCCUGCGUGAUAUACUAAAAAUAGCAUAAUAGUCCCACAGUUCUAUAACAUUCUCAAGUUAGGUAUACCAUACACAACCUGGCAAUAUCCCAGCAAAUAAUUUUAUAGUCCUACUGUUUUUUAACACUCCUGUCAACUCGUUGAACCUUGGCUUCUCAAAACAAACAGUCUUACAACUUCCGUAUGAGAAAACAUAAAAAAUUCACAAUUAGCAAAAUUUACAAUUACCAUCCUCUCUCUUCCCGCAAAAAACCUCCUCAGAAAAACAUUAUUAAUUGCUCACAGGUUCUCAACAGAUCUUACAACGAAUUAAUUUGUUGACUGUAGGAAAGUGCACUUGGAUAUCGUACGUGUGUACCCAUCUAUAUGUAGCUAGAUAUAUCUAUAUAUCUUUAUAUCCAUUCGAGUGUGUGCAUAUCUAGCGGUGCAAGCGAUGAAAUGAACAAACAGUUGAAUUGUUAUUCUUGUUUGUUAUCAACGGAACACAGAACGUACGAUUUCUGUAUAGCGACGAUAUAUAAAAUCGUAGUGUGUGCCCUGGUGCGACGCGAAUUUGAGCAUUUGCUGUUGACCAACCGAUGUUCAUCAUAUCUCGAUGGCAAUCGAAAGCUGUUUGAUUUGUCACCUCCCUCUGGACUCCCAGUCAAGGAUCCUCUUGAAUUGUAAAUUUGAACUGUCCUCCCUUGCCAGUUUCCACUGUACGUGUCACAUGCAGCACAUUUAGCUCGUUUACUUGAUAAUGUGGCGC
Molecule: non-coding RNA, 791 nt
Organism: Drosophila suzukii
Lineage: Eukaryota; Metazoa; Arthropoda; Insecta; Diptera; Drosophilidae
Source: RefSeq, a predicted model, not a curated record